UACGAAGGGUGCAAGCGUUACUCGGAAUUACUGGGCGUAAAGCGUGCGCAGGCGGUUUUGUAAGCCAGAUGUGAAAUCCCCGGGCUUAACCUGGGAAUGGCAUUUGGGACUGCAAGGCUUGAGUGCGGCAGAGGAGACUGGAAUUCCCGGUGUAGCAGUGAAAUGCGUAGAUAUCGGGAGGAAUACCGAUGGCGAAGGCAGGUCUCUGGGCUGACACUGACGCUCAUGCACGAAAGCGUGGGGAGCAAACAGG
Molecule: ribosomal RNA, 253 nt
Filed under: uncultured bacterium
Lineage: Bacteria
Description: partial 16S ribosomal RNA
Rfam family: Bacterial small subunit ribosomal RNA
Source: RNAcentral